UCAUCCUACGGGGCGCAGCAGUGGGGAAUAUUGGGCAAUGGGCGCAAGCCUGACCCAGCAACGCCGCGUGAAGGAAGAAGGCUUUCGGGUUGUAAACUUCUUUUCUCAGGGACGAAGAAAGUGACGGUACCUGAGGAAUAAGCCACGGCUAACUACGUGCCAGCAGCCGCGGUAAUACGUAGGUGGCAAGCGUUAUCCGGAUUUACUGGGUGUAAAGUGCGGGUAGGCGGGAAAGCAAGUCAGAUGUGAAAACCACGGGCUCAACCUGUGGCCUGCAUUUGAAACU
Molecule: ribosomal RNA, 286 nt
Filed under: uncultured bacterium
Lineage: Bacteria
Description: partial 16S ribosomal RNA
Rfam family: Bacterial small subunit ribosomal RNA
Source: RNAcentral